RNAcentral lists this ribosomal RNA (492 nucleotides) under uncultured bacterium. Its description in RNAcentral is "partial 16S ribosomal RNA". It matches the Rfam family "Bacterial small subunit ribosomal RNA", at positions 29 to 507 of the family's 1533-position model. The record is from RNAcentral.
AGUGAACGCUGGCGGUAGGCCUAACACAUGCAAGUCGAACGGCAGCACAGUAAGAGCUUGCUCUUACGGGUGGCGAGUGGCGGACGGGUGAGGAAUACAUCGGAAUCUACUUUUUCGUGGGGGAUAACGUAGGGAAACUUACGCUAAUACCGCAUACGACCUACGGGUGAAAGCAGGGGAUCUUCGGACCUUGCGCGAUUGAAUGAGCCGAUGUCGGAUUAGCUAGUUGGCGGGGUAAAGGCCCACCAAGGCGACGAUCCGUAGCUGGUCUGAGAGGAUGAUCAGCCACACUGGAACUGAGACACGGUCCAGACUCCUACGGGAGGCAGCAGUGGGGAAUAUUGGACAAUGGGCGCAAGCCUGAUCCAGCCAUACCGCGUGGGUAAAGAAGGCCUUCGGGUUGUAAAGCCCUGUUGUUGGGAAAGAAAAGCAGCAGGUGAAUACCCCGCUGUUCUGACGGUACCCAAAGAAUAAGCACCGGCUAACUUCGUG